UGGGGAAUUGUUCGCAAUGGGCGCAAGCCUGACGACGCAACGCCGCGUGGAGGAUGAAGAUCUUCGGGUCGUGAACUCCUGUCGAGCGGGAAGAACACCUUCCGGGUGAACAAUCCGGAAGGCUGACGGUACCGCUAAAGGAAGCCCCGGCUAACUCUGUGCCAGCAGCCGCGGUAAUACAGAGGUGGCAAGCGUUGUUCGGAAUUACUGGGCGUAAAGGGCGCGUAGGCGGCCCUCUAAGUCAGACGUGAAAUCCCCCGGCUUAACCUGGGAACUGCGUCUGAUACUGGAGGGCUUGAGUAUGGGAGAGGGAUGUAGAAUUCCAGGUGUAGCGGUGAAAUGCGUAGAUAUCUGGAGGAAUACCGGUGGCGAAGGCGGCAUCCUGGACCAUUACUGACGCUGAGGCGCGAAAGCUAGGGGAGCAAACGGGAUUAGAUACCCCGGUAGUCCUAGCCCUAAACGAUGAAUACUUGGUGUGGCGGGUAUCGAUCCCUGCCGUGCCGAAGCUAACGCAUUAAGUAUUCCGCCUGGGGAGUACGGUCGCAAGGCUGC
Molecule: ribosomal RNA, 552 nt
Filed under: uncultured Acidobacteriota bacterium
Lineage: Bacteria; Pseudomonadati; Acidobacteriota
Description: bacterial SSU rRNA
Rfam family: Bacterial small subunit ribosomal RNA
Source: RNAcentral